RNAcentral lists this long non-coding RNA (498 nucleotides) under Phascolarctos cinereus (koala). RNAcentral's name for it is "lncRNA (ENSPCIG00000015267.2)". The record is from RNAcentral. Lineage: Eukaryota; Metazoa; Chordata; Mammalia; Diprotodontia; Phascolarctidae.
UGCUUCCGGAAGGAGACAGACGGGCACCUGGAGUUCUGCACCCAAGAGGCCCCAAGUUCAGUUCGAAGGUGACUGUGUAAAGAUUAGGAAUCUGGACCAAACUCUCUAGGCUGACAUUGGAGAGGAGGAGAGGGGCAAGGGAGAAAGGAGGCGGUCCUGGACCAUGGAUGGGUGGAUGAGCAACUGUGAGCAGAUUUCCUGAUGGUUCACUGCAGUAACCAGCAGGAGAAGGCAGACAGGAGCAAUGGCAGGGUGCACAUGGGAAACAUCUUGCAAAAGCCCCAGUUCUUAAUUCAAUGCAGUUUGGCAUGUGUGAGAGAAGAUUGGAUUGUUUGAAGAAGGUAAAACUGGAAGAAGAAUCAACAAACUCACAGAGGUCAAAUGAGUAAAUUGCUGUAUUUUUUCUUUGGGGAUUGGUGUGGAAAGGAGGUGGUGCUGCUGUGGGAAGGGGCAGCGUAUUAUAAGGAUGGGUAUUUUCUUUUCACAUGUGCCUAGAUA